CAACAGAUCUAGUUAAAGUUAGCAGGGACCCCGCUUUACUCAGAAGAGUUCUCCAGUCUACAAGUAGUUUCAUGGAUUUCAGGAGCAAAAUGCCUCUGUACCCUGUGAGAUGAUGCAGCAUUCCCCGUGCCCCACGUGAGGGGAGACACGCAGGAUUGUGCUCUGCUGCGACUUCCGAGUGCAAGUGUUUACGAAUGUGUUCUGUGUAUGCAUCAAAGGCCAGGUCGCUCCCUCCCACUGCGUAGCUCUCAAGGAAGCACCAUCCCUGCAAAAUUUCCAUUGUUCAAGAUCCCCAUGGAGAGCUGGAA
This is a long non-coding RNA of Harpia harpyja (harpy eagle), 308 nucleotides long. RefSeq lists it as uncharacterized. The transcript has 3 exons. The record is from RefSeq and is a predicted model, not a curated record. NCBI's taxonomy places the organism in Eukaryota, Metazoa, Chordata, Aves, Accipitriformes, Accipitridae.